GGAAGCACUGCUUAGAAUACCACUGCAGAAUGUGCUUUCAAUAAGGUCCGAGAAAGCAAACAAGGGAGACAAGCUUCAUGAAGUGAAGGUCACAUAUGGGACGCCUAGUGCUCCUGAACUGAUGGUCUUCAGUCUCAAGCAGGCAAGAGAGCUGUGCCAUGUGAUUGCACUCAUUAUGGAGAACGCUGCCAACACUUCCAGUAGUCUUUCCGGCUCUGAGAUGGGAAUGCUGCCAUCAAGAGAGAGCACUAGAAGGAGUGCUAGACACACACCCGAGGAGCUCCCCUACAUGAAGCCCACACCAUCUCCUACUGCGCAUAACCUACCAGGUGCCCAGGAGUCAGCCAUGUUCUCGAUGUAUUAAAGAAUCACUUGCUGAAAUCGACCAGGAGUGUUUAAAAAGUAUUCAGACAGACCCGGGCUGCUCGUCUUCACUAACCUUGCAGUAGCACAGCUGCCUUCCUCCUCCUGUCACCGUUUGCUUCGUGCUGACCGUGCGAGUCGCAAUGAGCGGUGGGUGAGACCCCCAGAUGUUUAACUUGUUCAAUGACAGUGAGGCCCACCAAAGGCCUCGGGAUUCUCUGGACACACACGGGUCGUGUCGUUAACUUUUCAAACACUCCUGCUCUAUUCAGCUCUUUCUCCUUUGACUUAUUCAGUAAAGAUUCCUAAUGACCCUCAUUAUAAACUUUUAUCAUACAAAUAAGUAAACUGCUGAUACCGAA
Molecule: long non-coding RNA, 725 nt
Organism: Erpetoichthys calabaricus (reedfish)
Lineage: Eukaryota; Metazoa; Chordata; Cladistia; Polypteriformes; Polypteridae
Exons: 2
Source: RefSeq, a predicted model, not a curated record